AGUGAACGCUGGCGGUAGGCCUAACACAUGCAAGUCGAACGGCAGCACAGUAAGAGCUUGCUCUUACGGGUGGCGAGUGGCGGACGGGUUAGGAAUACAUCGGACUCUACUUUUUCGUGGGGGAUAACGUAGGGGAACUAAUGCUAAUACCGCAUACGACCUACGGGUGAAAGCAGGGGAUCUUCGGACCUUUCGCGAUGGAAGGAGCCGAUGUCGGAUUAGCUAGUUGGCGGGGUAAAGGCCCACCAAGGCGACGAUCCGUAGCUGGUCUGAGAGGACGAUCAGCCACACUGGAACUGAGACACGGUCCAGACUCCUACGGGAGGCAGCAGUGGGGAAUAUUGGACAAUGGGCGCAAGCCUGAUCCAGCAAUACCGCGUGUGUGAAGAAGGCCUUCGGGUUGUAAAGCACUUUUGUUCGGAAAGAAAAGCAGCAGGUUAAUACCCCGCUGUUAUGACGGUACCCAAAGAAUAAGCACCGGCUAACUUCGUG
RNAcentral lists this ribosomal RNA (492 nucleotides) under uncultured bacterium. Its description in RNAcentral is "partial 16S ribosomal RNA". It matches the Rfam family "Bacterial small subunit ribosomal RNA", at positions 29 to 507 of the family's 1533-position model. The record is from RNAcentral.